AUCCAACUGACGAGUCCCAAAUAGGACAAAACGCGUGUCCUGGAU
This is a non-coding RNA of Schistosoma rodhaini, 45 nucleotides long. NCBI's taxonomy places the organism in Eukaryota, Metazoa, Platyhelminthes, Trematoda, Strigeidida, Schistosomatidae. The record is from Rfam.